Parcubacteria group bacterium is the source of this 72-nucleotide non-coding RNA. The record is from Rfam.
GCCUCCGUGGUGAAAUGGACAUCACGCGACGCUUCGGACGUCGUAUUAGGGGUUCGAAUCCCUUCGGAGGUA